This 292-nucleotide ribosomal RNA is filed under the name uncultured bacterium. RNAcentral's name for it is "partial 16S ribosomal RNA". The record is from RNAcentral.
GGACUACUGGGGUAUCUAAUCCUGUUCGCUCCCCACGCUUUCGCUCCUCAGCGUCAGUUACUGCCCAGAGACCCGCCUUCGCCACCGGUGUUCCUCCUGAUAUCUGCGCAUUCCACCGCUACACCAGGAAUUCCAGUCUCCCCUGCAGUACUCCAGUCUGCCCGUAUCGCCCGCACGCCCCCAGUUAAGCCAGGGAAUUUCACGAACAACGCGACAAACCACCUACGAGCUCUUUACGCCCAGUAAUUCCGGACAACGCUCGCACCCUACGUAUUACCGCGGCUGCUGGCAC